CUGAUUACAGCAUCUUUGACAGCUUUAAAGGAAUUUGCCCUGGGGAAGAAGACAGCUGCUGCCCGGAUGAGGGAUUUUUCUGAGCAGGCCUCCCAAGCCAGACACGUCAGUGUGAGAUGCUGCCUACAUUUUUCAUCCUGACCAACAGGUUGUUAGACUACAAUCAAAAGCACUUAAUAGGAAUGGAACUGUCCCUGUCAUGAGAUUUGAACUACUGACAUCUUUAUCCACUGAAACUUGAGUGCCCAGGACACAUCAGAGAGGGGAUUUUGGAAGCAUUUCACAAGGCCUGCUGCUGUGAGCUGGUUUCAGCAUGAGGAAAAGCCCUCCACCACCCCAAUGCACAGGAAAGAGAAGACAGAUGAGAGCAGCUCUCCUCCUUCCAUACUGAGGAAAAGGCCACCUGUGGACCCAGCUGUGGGGGAGAAGCGGAGAGCAGAGCGCAGGGUUCGGUUUCGUGAGCCAGAAGAAGUCAUUGAACAUGCAGAUGACAGGACAUCAUCUGGAUUGCCUGUGUUCCUGUGGCUCUUGUUUUGUGCACUGCUGAUCCUUGCUGUGAGUCUCUACUACACCAGCAUGAAGCAGGAUGUCACAGUCCUGGAGGAGUUUCAAUCCCGACUUGUCAUCUUCUUUCUUCAUUUAAGACACGUUGCUCAGAGGUGCUGGACUUGGUUUCUGAGGCAGUAGCAGCAUCCUGCAGCCUGACACUGCUGAGAAACAUCAGUGCAAAGCUCCCAGCCUACUGCAGCCACAUGCAAGGAACACAUGAGCAUCCACCUCAAAGAACAAGGAAAUCACCCCUGCUGUGCACCAUCCAGCAAACACUUGCUCUCCUUUUUACUUCUUUGUUGUUUUCCUUUGUUUCACAUCAAUGAACAUUCAUACUAAUGCCUUGAGGUCCCACCAAACUCAUGCUCCUUCACCCUGAACAGCAAACAAGUAUCUGGAUUAGGUCACCCAGAGUUUAUAAGCUGCUGAUAUGAGGAGCAAAAGCAGAAAGAGGAAUACAUUGAUCUGUGCAGGCAGCAGCAAACUCAGAAGAAAAGUCUUGUGAGUCUCAGGUCAAGACUUUAGAUACCAAACCAUCUUUCUCCUCAAGUCUCCAAGGAAUUACUCUGCAAAGAUUAAAAUAAAGCUGAGCCAUUGCACA
RNAcentral lists this long non-coding RNA (1150 nucleotides) under Zonotrichia albicollis (white-throated sparrow). RNAcentral's name for it is "lncRNA (ENSZALG00000006142.1)". Lineage: Eukaryota; Metazoa; Chordata; Aves; Passeriformes; Passerellidae. The record is from RNAcentral.